Molecule: long non-coding RNA, 347 nt
Filed under: Elaeis guineensis (African oil palm)
Lineage: Eukaryota; Viridiplantae; Streptophyta; Magnoliopsida; Arecales; Arecaceae
Description: long non-coding RNA (EGUI_LNC049370)
Source: RNAcentral
GCGGCCAUAUCCAGUGAUGGUUGGCAAAAACAAGGAAAGAGCUCGAAAGAGAGAAGGCCUUGUUUUUGCCUAAAACCAGCAGUUUGCUGUCUCUAAAUAGGUUGGUGGUGACAGCCACAAGCCUCAAAAAGAAAAGGAAAGCAAGCUUGGGUCCUGUACCUAACUCCGGCGAGGUUAAAUGAGGAAAAUCCAACGACCUUUCUCGAUGGAAAAAUCAAAAAAUCAUGGAAACAUAUGUGCAAUCAAUAGGAAUUUCGGGAAUUCUUGAAAUCUUUGGUGUGGAGUCUAAAGUAGGAGAAGAGCAAUUCUUUUAUAGAGAUAAUCCUAGGGUUUUAGCCGACAUUGGC